UGCUGAAUGUGGGGAUAAUUUAUCUCUGUGUUGUAGCUAACGCGUUAAGCACUCCGCCUGGGGACUACGGUCGCAAGACUAAAACUCAAAGGAAUUGACGGGGACCCGCACAAGCGGUGGAGCAUGUGGUUUAAUUCGAUGCAACGCGAAAAACCUUACCACUCCUUGACAUGGAGAUUAGAUCCUUCUUAACGGAAGGGCGCAGUUCGGCUGGAUCUCGCACAGGUGCUGCAUGGCUGUCGUCAGCUCGUGUCGUGAGAUGUUGGGUUAAGUCCCGCAACGAGCGUAACCCUCAUCCUUAGUUGCCAGCGGGUUAAGCCGGGCACUUUAAGGAAACUGCCAGUGGUAAACUGGAGGAAGGUGGGGAUGAUGUCAAGUCAGCACGGCCCUUAUGGGGUGGGCUACACACGUGCUACAAUGGUGACUACAAUAGGUUGCAAUGUCGCAAGGCUGAGCUAAUCCGUAAAAGUCAUCUCAGUUCGGAUUGUCCUCUGCAACUCGAGGGCAUGAAGUCGGAAUCGCUAGUAAUCGUGGAUCAGCAUGCCACGGUGAAUACGUUCUCGGGUCUUGUACACACUGCCCGUCACGCCA
This 591-nucleotide ribosomal RNA is filed under the name Anaplasma phagocytophilum. RNAcentral's name for it is "bacterial SSU rRNA". It matches the Rfam family "Bacterial small subunit ribosomal RNA", at positions 814 to 1404 of the family's 1533-position model. The record is from RNAcentral. Lineage: Bacteria; Pseudomonadati; Pseudomonadota; Alphaproteobacteria; Rickettsiales; Anaplasmataceae.